This 403-nucleotide ribosomal RNA is filed under the name Fusobacteriota bacterium. RNAcentral describes it as "Fusobacteria bacterium partial 16S ribosomal RNA". It matches the Rfam family "Bacterial small subunit ribosomal RNA", at positions 355 to 776 of the family's 1533-position model. The record is from RNAcentral. Lineage: Bacteria; Fusobacteriati; Fusobacteriota.
UGGGGAAUAUUGCACAAUGGAGGGAACUCUGAUGCAGCGAUGCCGCGUGAACGAAGAAGGCUUUCGAGUCGUAAAGUUCUUUUAUAUGGGAAGAUAAUGACGGUACCAUAAGAAAAAGCCCCGGCUAACUACGUGCCAGCAGCCGCGGUAAUACGUAGGGGGCUAGCGUUGUCCGGAAUCACUGGGCGUAAAGGGUUCGCAGGCGGAAAUGCAAGUCAGGUGUAAAAGGCAGUAGCUUAACUACUGUAAGCAUUUGAAACUGCAUAUCUUGAGACGAGUAGAGGUAAGUGGAAUUUUUAGUGUAGCAGUGAAAUGCGUAGAUAUUAAAAAGAAUACCGGUGGCGAAGGCGGCUUACUGGUCUCAUACUGACGCUGAGGAACGAAAGCGUGGGUAGCAAACAGG